UUGUGCUUGCUUGUCUUGCGCUCUCACUGCUCUGACGGAUGCUUUUAUUAGACCAAACCGCUGAGGACUUGAGGGUUCGCUCUCUAGUUCGACUCGUAUAAUGGUGACUCUGGAUAACCUUGACGAGCGCACGUACUCCUCUUCUGAGCGAGACGGCGCUGCCACUUUCGAGUGUCUGCCUUAUCAGCUAUCAACCGUUCGUUAUGCGCGACCGAUGGCUUUGACGGGUAACGGGGAAUCAGGGUUCGAUUCCGGAGAGGCAGCCUGAGAGACGGCUACCACGUCCAAGGACGGCAGCAGGCACGCAAAUUACCCAAUCCCAGCAAAUGGGGGAGGUAGUGACGAAAUCUAACGAUGCGGGCGCCCUUUCUGGGGCCCCGCAAUCGGAAUGGGCACUUUCUAAACAACCUGUUGAGAACCUACUGAAGGGCAAGUCUGGUGCCAGCAGCCGCGGUAAUUCCAGCUUCAGCAGCAUCUAUUAAAGUUGCUGCGGUUAAAAGGCUCGCAGUUGAAUGUCUGUAUCGAGCGCAGGUCAGGUGGACGUUGGGGCGUGGAAGUACGGGCAGUUGGAUGUUCGGAGGGCAUUCGUGCUCGAUGGCUCCUUCGGCUUUUCCACACACCCCCGUCCGUGACAAGCCUCCUCGCUCGGGUACAUAACGGGAAUCGGUCAAACGGAGUGUGGUCGGGAGUUGAGGUGCGUGGUUUCGGCUGCGUGCUCCUUCUUUCGGCUGCGUUAAGCUCCAUCGGUUUCACGGUCACCUUGAGUAAAUCAGAGUGCUCAAAGCAGUCGUAGGGGCCUUGCGCCCUGUGAACAGUCUUGACGGACUGACUUGGUUUUGCAUGGCAUGUCGGAAGACGACGUCGUGUGCUGGCUCAGAGGAUAAAUCAGUGGUACAAGCCAGCCUCGACGUAAUGAUUAAAAGGGACGGUCGAGGGCAUUGGUAUUGCGAGGCGAGAGGUGAAAUUCUGUGACCCCCGCAAGACCUCCUGAAGCGAAAGCGUCUGCCAAGGACGUUUUCAUUAAUCAUGAACGAAAGUUAGAGGAUCGAAGGCGAUCAGAUACCGCCCUAGUUCUAACCCUAAACGAUGCCAACCAUCAAUCCGCGCGUAGCACCCUUCUUAACGGGCUCGGCGGGCAGCUCCCACUCACGGGAAACCAGAGCCUCUGGGUUCCGGGGGGAGUCUGGUUGCAAAGCUGAAACUUAAAGGAAUUGACGGAAAGGCACCACCAGGCGUGGAGCCUGCGGCUUAAUUUGACUCAACACGGGCCAUCUCACCAGGCCAGCACUCUUGUACGAUUGACAGAUUGAGAGCUCUUUCUCGAUUCAGUGGAUGGUGGUGCAUGGCCGUUCUUAGUUGGUGGAGUGAUCUGUCUGGUUAAUUCCGAUAACGAACGAGACUCUCCCCUGCUAACUAGUCGGUUGGAUCUUGAUCAGCGGGUUGCGUGCCGAGUAACUCUCGCUGCGCGUCUGGUGCGUCGCUGGCUCUCGGGCUGGUUGCGUGUCCGCGCGUGUGGCGUUGGAUGCCUUGGAUCACACUGCACCCCAAGUCCGCCGCUUAUGCUAUAACUCUUCUUAGAGGGAUUCACGGCACUGAAGCCGUAAGAGACUGAGAGCAAUAACAGGUCUGUGAUGCCCUUAGAUGCUCUGGGCCGCACGCGCGCUACAAUGCCGGGCACAGCAGGUGUUUCUCCUGCUCCGACAGGAGCGGGUAACCCUCUGAAAGCCAGUGUUCUUGCAAGUGCUUCCUCCCUCGUGGAGUUGCACAGAGGCGUGC
This 1776-nucleotide ribosomal RNA is filed under the name Gammarus cf. fossarum E DCC-2015. RNAcentral describes it as "bacterial SSU rRNA". It matches the Rfam family "Eukaryotic small subunit ribosomal RNA", at positions 184 to 1613 of the family's 1831-position model. The record is from RNAcentral. Lineage: Eukaryota; Metazoa; Arthropoda; Malacostraca; Amphipoda; Gammaridae.